GCUGUCUCCACCCGAGACUCAGUGAAAUUGAACUCGCUGUGAAGAUGCAGUGUACCCGCGGCAAGACGGAAAGACCCCGUGAACCUUUACUAUAGCUUGACACUGAACAUUGAGCCUUGAUGUGUAGGAUAGGUGGGAGGCUUUGAAGUGUGGACGCCAGUCUGCAUGGAGCCGACCUUGAAAUACCACCCUUUAAUGUUUGAUGUUCUAACGUGGACCCGUGAUCCGGGUUGCGGACAGUGUCUGGUGGGUAGUUUGACUGGGGCGGUCUCCUCCUAAAGAGUAACGGAGGAGCACGAAGGUUGGCUAAUCCUGGUCGGACAUCAGGAGGUUAGUGCAAUGGCAUAAGCCAGCUUGACUGCGAGCGUGACGGCGCGAGCAGGUGCGAAAGCAGGUCAUAGUGAUCCGGUGGUUCUGAAUGGAAGGGCCAUCGCUCAACGGAUAAAAGGUACUCCGGGGAUAACAGGCUGAUACCGCCCAAGAGUUCAUAUCGACGGCGGUGUUUGGCACCUCGAUGUCGGCUCAUCACAUCCUGGGGCUGAAGUAGGUCCCAAGGGUAUGGCUGUUCGCCAUUUAAAGUGGUACGCGAGCUGGGUUUAGAACGUCGUGAGACAGUUCGGUCCCUAUCUGCCGUGGGCGCUGGAGAACUGAGGGGGGCUGCUCCUAGUACGAGAGGACCGGAGUGGACGCAUCACUGGUGUUCGGGUUGUCAUGCCAAUGGCACUGCCCGGUAGCUAAAUGCGGAAGAGAUAAGUGCUGAAAGCAUCUAAGCACGAAACUUGCCCCGAGAU
Molecule: ribosomal RNA, 791 nt
Filed under: Salmonella enterica
Lineage: Bacteria; Pseudomonadati; Pseudomonadota; Gammaproteobacteria; Enterobacterales; Enterobacteriaceae
Description: partial 23S ribosomal RNA
Rfam family: Bacterial large subunit ribosomal RNA
Source: RNAcentral